GCUCGGUUAGCUCAGUUGGUUAGAGCGUCGUACUAAUACCUCCCUUGGGACAUAUUAAGUAAUGCGAAGGUCAUGAGUUCAACCCUCAUACUGAGCA
Molecule: transfer RNA, 97 nt
Filed under: Pseudomassariella vexata
Lineage: Eukaryota; Fungi; Ascomycota; Sordariomycetes; Amphisphaeriales; Pseudomassariaceae
Rfam family: tRNA
About the family: Transfer RNA (tRNA) molecules are approximately 80 nucleotides in length. Their secondary structure includes four short double-helical elements and three loops (D, anti-codon, and T loops).
Source: Rfam by way of RNAcentral